This 429-nucleotide ribosomal RNA is filed under the name Bacteroidota bacterium. RNAcentral's name for it is "Bacteroidetes bacterium partial 16S ribosomal RNA". It matches the Rfam family "Bacterial small subunit ribosomal RNA", at positions 355 to 776 of the family's 1533-position model. Lineage: Bacteria; Pseudomonadati; Bacteroidota. The record is from RNAcentral.
UAGGGAAUCUUCCGCAAUGGACGCAAGUCUGACGGAGCAACGCCGCGUGAGUGAAGAAGGAUUUCGGUUCGUAAAACUCUGUUGUUAGAGAAGAACAGCGCAUAGAGUAACUGUUAUGCGUGUGACGGUAUCUAACCAGAAAGCCACGGCUAACUACGUGCAAGCAGCCGCGGUAAUACGUAGGUGGCAAGCGUUGUCCGGAUUUAUUGGGCGUAAAGCGAGCGCAGGCGGUCAAUUAAGUCUGAUGUGAAAGCCCCCGGCUCAACCGGGGAGCGUCAUUGGAAACUGGUUGACUUGAGUGCAGAAGAGGAGAGUGGAAUUCCAUGUGUAGCGGUGAAAUGCGUAGAUAUAUGGAGGAACACCAGUGGCGAAGGCGACUCUCUGGUCUGUAACUGACGCUGAGGCUCGAAAGCGUGGGUAGCAAACAGG